Molecule: non-coding RNA, 642 nt
Organism: Anolis sagrei ordinatus
Lineage: Eukaryota; Metazoa; Chordata; Lepidosauria; Squamata; Anolidae
Source: RefSeq, a predicted model, not a curated record
CUCUGCAUCAUCAGGUGAUGUCAUCUCCAACCACUGGCCAAUGGCCGAGCCCUCAGCUGGGAGCAUCUUUGCUGCAAGACAGGAGAGAAGAGAGGAAGAGGAGGAGGAGGAGGAGGAGAACAGCUGCUGGGUGGAAAUCUGGGGAAGGGGAGGCGGCAGGGUGGGGAGAUCCUUUGUUCCUUCCCCACCAUGGUGCUUUGGGACCCAGUGCGGCCUCUCCUCCGGCACGGCUAGACUUGCCACCGCAGACCUUCCUUGUGGUCCACAGGCAGGGGAUGAGCCUCCAACGGAUUGACAGGGCUCUUCCUUUGACAGCAGGGGAUGGUCCAGGUGGCUCCUCGACCUGCGUGGGACCUCAUCCAUCAUCUCUCUUCACUCUGCAGCAGAUACCCUGACGAUAUCCAGGUUCUUUGGAGAGGGACACUUUGUCCUUCCUCGGAAAGGCAAACUGAAUCCAGAGAACGGCAACAUCCUAUCUAUCCCAGUUCUUUUCCUUGACUUGAAGUAGCAGGACGCCUGGGUUUUCUGCAUGUCUGCCUGUCAGGAUGUCAACCAUCAGCCCUGAAUAUGACUAUUUGUUUAAGCUGCUGCUGAUCGGUGAUUCUGGAGUCGGAAAAUCGUGCCUCCUGCUGCGUUUUGCAG